This 706-nucleotide ribosomal RNA is filed under the name uncultured bacterium. Its description in RNAcentral is "bacterial SSU rRNA". It matches the Rfam family "Bacterial small subunit ribosomal RNA", at positions 580 to 1287 of the family's 1533-position model. The record is from RNAcentral.
UGAAAAAGUUAGUGGUGAAAUCCCAGAGCUUAACUCUGGAACUGCCAUUAAAACUUUUCAGCUAGAGUAUGAUAGAGGAAAGCAGAAUUUCUAGUGUAGAGGUGAAAUUCGUAGAUAUUAGAAAGAAUACCAAUUGCGAAGGCAGCUUUCUGGAUCAUUACUGACACUGAGGAACGAAAGCAUGGGUAGCGAAGAGGAUUAGAUACCCUCGUAGUCCAUGCCGUAAACGAUGUGUGUUAGACGUUGGAAAUUUAUUUUCAGUGUCGCAGCGAAAGCGAUAAACACACCGCCUGGGGAGUACGACCGCAAGGUUAAAACUCAAAUGAAUUGACGGGGACCCGCACAAGUAGUGGAGCAUGUGGUUUAAUUCGAAGAUACGCGCAGAACCUUACCAACACUUGACAUGUUCGUCGCGACUCUAAGAGAUUAGAGUUUUCGGUUCGGCCGGACGAAACACAGGUGCUGCAUGGCUGUCGUCAGCUCGUGUCGUGAGAUGUUGGGUUAAGUCCCGCAACGAGCGCAACCCUCACUUUUAGUUGCCAUCAUUAAGUUGGGCACUCUGAAAGAACUGCCAGUGAUAAGCUGGAGGAAGGUGGGGAUGACGUCAAGUCCUCAUGGCCCUUACGUGUUGGGCUACACACGUGCUACAAUGGUAUCUACAACAGGAAGCAAGACUGCGAGGUCAAGCAAAUCCCUAAAAGAUACC